Molecule: unclassified non-coding RNA, 2116 nt
Filed under: Aplysia californica (California sea hare)
Lineage: Eukaryota; Metazoa; Mollusca; Gastropoda; Aplysiida; Aplysiidae
Description: gem-associated protein 2, transcript variant X1
Source: RNAcentral
CAGAAAGUAGAAACCAGGUUGUGUCCCAAGCAGUAGACAAACAGACGCAGACUUUAUUGCCUACAAAGCUAGUUUGCCUUAUCAUUUUCCUUCGUCAGCUCGUGAUAAUAUUGAAAAAGAUGGCUGACAGCGAUAGCGAUGGUCCCUGUGAACCUGCUCUGGCAAUUGAUGAAAGUGUAGCGGCAGACAUGGAUCUCAACGUUCCCGCAACGUCUGGCAACGAGUAUCUUCGUCGUGUCAGAUUGGAAGCCAUGGAGUGUCCCAAAGUUGUUGUUGCUGACAUGGAUACAAGUUCUUUCCUAACCCAACAGACAGUGAAAGUGUCAGAACCAGGAGGUCUGCUGCCAGUUCCAGUGUCGUACAAGGCGCCAAUGUCCUGGCAGAGAAUGCAGGUAGCGGAGUUUGCAGCCCUGAGACAGAAACUGAUCCAGUUCAAAGCUCUGCUCAAGCAAAAGAAAAUAAAUGUUCCGUCUCCAAAACUGCCUCAAGCCAACGACGCUGACACCUGGUGCCGUUUGUGCUUUGGUCGACUCAAAGUGAAAAUAGACCAGGGUGAUAACUCAAGCACCAAUGCAUCAUCUGAGAAUGAGAAAGUGCCGGUGGAUUCCCCAGGGGAAGGGACGCCUCCGCUGUUACACAUUGUCGCUCACAUGAACCAGCAUCAGGUGACCUGUGUGUUAGAGUACCACACCAACUGGCUGGAGGCUACAGGGUUCACAUCUGCGCAGGGUCGCUGGUUCUACGCUUUAUUGGCCAACCUGCAGAAACCUCUCAGUCCAGAAGUGUGCUCCUGGCUGCGUCGCUUGGCACGUCUGUGUUCCAACAUCAGAGCUUCUCUGGAGGAUGUUGAUCAGCCCAUGCUGAAGGAAUUGAACCUGAUCAUCUGCCUUGUGUCUCGUUACUUUGACCAGAGGGAUUUGGCCGACUCCUGACUCACAGACUCAUGUCUCCCGUGAAUCACACAGCUGCAGAAUGAAAUAGUGUACAUACUUUUGAAUUUAUGUAUGAUUUGAAUUUUACCGUUGGCGUUAGUUUGUUGCCUUCUUUGGUGUGCUGAUGGUAAUGUGUGAUGUGUUGAGAGAGGGCCCUUGUCUGGUAUUGUGAAAGUUGUGUGAGGGAAACGGUCGGUUUGAAGGUGAAGGGUUGGACACACAACAUCAUUAAUUGUCUGAUUUGUUGUUGUUGUUCUCAAAUCCCUUUAGCUGCGAGCAUUUCGCUCUUGGCAGCGCAAUGCCUCCCUCAAGUAACCACAUGUCCUUGUCAAAUUGUAUCAUUAAAAAGUGACUGCUUGCCUUCUCUGUCUAGUGAAAGGGGAGGUUGUUAUCAAUUCUUCUCUGUCUAGUGAAAGGGGAGGUUGUUUUAUCAAUUCUUCUCUGUCUAGUGAAAGGGGAGGUUGUUUUAUCAAUUCUUCUCUGUCUAGUGAAAGGGGAGGUUGUUAUCAAUUCUUCUCUGUCUAGUGAAAGGGGAGGUUGUUAUCAAUUACUUUAGUGCCUGAGGGUUUCACACAGUAACUGUCUAGUCAUAUUUGUUUCAGUAAGCUUGUUCAUUGUGUGAUUGGAAAACGGGUGUUGUUGUCAUGUUGUGCUUAUUUUCAUAGAGUAGAGGCAAGUGAUAUAUCAAAAUGGAGAUUAAAGGAUAAGGAACAAUAGUAUAGAUAAAAAUUGAAAGUAAACAGCACAGAAAUAGUUAAACAGGUAAACAGUUAUUGAAAGUGCUUCAAGGAGAGUUGAUUUAUGAAAGUCUUUUAUUGCAUUCACAGCCUUCCGGCUGGGUCUGCAUUAUUGUUAUCCAUUUCUAAUUCCUGAUCAAAUAAAAUAGGUUUGUUUCUGUACACAUUUACAGUUUUACUUUUCGUAAUAGUUUUACGACACUUGCAACACAAUAAGGUCAUAUAAGUGCCGAAGAUUAGAGGUUUUACAAAAGAGUAACAAACAAACACAAAAAAGGAGGAGAGAGUAGGACAAUAGAUGUUUGAUAGGAAAGAAGGAGCAAACCACACCAGAGCACCCACCAACCACCCUCAUUUGCAGUUUGAAAGUCUUCCAAUUUAUUAUGAUUUUGUGCUCAUUUCUGCAAUGUCUGUGUAAAUGAAAAUAAAACUGGAAAUAUAACGAAU